CCAAUUCGUCCAGUGAUGCCAACCUCUUCUGGGAAAUAGCGACGGACUCAUUGGGAAGCGUGGUUAGACCUUCUCCUUGGUCCUGAAGUCUUGUAGUAAUUGCUAUUUCUAUUUUAGGCAUGUAUUUUUGUAAACAUUGAUCAUAUUCAAAUGCAUAAAUCAAUUCAAAUUAAAUCAAUGGACGUUUAUGCAAACAAAAC
This 200-nucleotide long non-coding RNA is filed under the name Lathyrus oleraceus (garden pea). RNAcentral describes it as "Pisum sativum (pea) long non-coding RNA (PSAT_LNC026250)". The record is from RNAcentral. Lineage: Eukaryota; Viridiplantae; Streptophyta; Magnoliopsida; Fabales; Fabaceae.